GUCUAUGGCCUGCUACCCUGAACUACCCAGCCCAAUCCUGUCUGAUCUUGGAAGCUAAGCAGGGUCGGGCCUGGUAGGACUUGGAUGGGAGACCACCUAGGAAGACUAGGUGCUGUAGGUG
RNAcentral lists this ribosomal RNA (121 nucleotides) under Pteropus alecto (black flying fox). The record is from RNAcentral. Lineage: Eukaryota; Metazoa; Chordata; Mammalia; Chiroptera; Pteropodidae.